AAUGAACGCUGGCGGCGCGCCUAAUACAUGCAAGUCGAGCGAGAAGACGUAGCAAUACGUUUGUAAAGCGGCGAACGGGUGAGGAAUACAUGGGUAACCUACCCUCGAGUGGGGAAUAACUAGCCGAAAGGUUAGCUAAUACCGCGUACGCUCCUUGGACUUCGGUUCAGGGAGGAAAGCGAUACCGUGGGUAUCGCGCUCUUGGUUGGGCUCAUGUCCUAUCAGCUUGUUGGUGAGGUAACGGCUCACCAAGGCUUCGACGGGUAGCUGGUCUGAGAGGACGAUCAGCCACACUGGCACUGCGACACGGGCCAGACUCCUACGGGAGGCAGCAGUAAGGAAUAUUGCGCAAUGGGCGAAAGCCUGACGCAGCGACGCCGCGUGGGGGAUGAAGGUCUUCGGAUUGUAAACCCCUUUCGGGAGGGAAGAUGGAACGAGCAAUCGUUCGGACGGUACCUCCAGAAGCAGCCACGGCUAACUUCGUGGCAGCCGCCGCGGU
This 499-nucleotide ribosomal RNA is filed under the name uncultured bacterium. RNAcentral's name for it is "bacterial SSU rRNA". It matches the Rfam family "Bacterial small subunit ribosomal RNA", at positions 29 to 521 of the family's 1533-position model. The record is from RNAcentral.